UUUAUCUGAAUUCGGCCGCAGUGUCUUUUAGGUCAAUCCUCUACAUCAACCUGAACCAGUAGAGCUCUCGAAUCAGGUUGAAUACUCCUAAUCGGCUUUAAAUCUGUGAAACAUCCUCUGUACCCCGAUAGAUCAUCGGUGGACAACCACAAUCACAAUGAACUGGAAUGGCAUGUUGGAGAGGAAUCAUCUUCGCGGAUGUGAAUGUUCGGGGGUAUAACCUGUCUAAUAGAAAGGAAUCUGUCGCCAGAAAUGGUAAAUAAAAUGAAGUGAACAUCGG
RNAcentral lists this long non-coding RNA (280 nucleotides) under Spirodela polyrhiza (greater duckweed). RNAcentral describes it as "long non-coding RNA (SPOL_LNC000701)". Lineage: Eukaryota; Viridiplantae; Streptophyta; Magnoliopsida; Alismatales; Araceae. The record is from RNAcentral.